Molecule: long non-coding RNA, 2088 nt
Filed under: Lactuca sativa (garden lettuce)
Lineage: Eukaryota; Viridiplantae; Streptophyta; Magnoliopsida; Asterales; Asteraceae
Description: long non-coding RNA (LSAT_LNC004836)
Source: RNAcentral
AUUAGUUUAAGCGAACUAGGAAUAUGGAUUUAUUUCUAGACUUAAACUUAGAAUACUAAGCAAUGAUUGUGAGGAGUGUGUCUUAGGUAAUACACCUAAAUAGACACAAGCACUAGCUUAUUUACGGAAAACGCCUAACAUGCUUUUAUGUGCUAAAUGAUUUAUGAUGCUAAAUGUAUGAUCGGAUCUAUGGUCUGUUGCCGACCGGAUCUGGAAAUUUUAUGUGUCCAGAUUUCUAAACGUUUAAUUAUGUUAUUAGAACUGGCAUGUAACUUUUCGGCGUAAUAAGAAGACUUACCUGUCAAUCGUAAAUAAAAUCUUUCCUAUCUUAAUUCUCGUCAUUUCGCACCGAACAUCUGAUCUGGUGUAUAGAUCAAAAUGGCUAGAACCCGAAGAGGAGUCGGGAACGUGAAUGGAGAUAGGAAUCAAUAGCCCCUAGUGGCUGAACAAAUACGUGUUGUAGUAACCGCACCUGAGCCAAUAACGAUGGUCGGGGUACAAGCGAUGAUCCAAAUGAUGUUGGAUCGUCAAAUGGAGGAAACAAGGUGUUUACUUCAACAGAACCAAGAAGAACUUACGGUACCAAUUGAACAGCCCGAGCUGAAUGAUGGGCAGUCAGAAGGAGAAAACUACAGUGGAACUGUUGGUCAAGCCAACCCACCGAUAGUUAGGCGAAACUACUAGGAUGGAGGAAACGACGGACGUGGAUGCAAAUACAAGGAUUUCAUGGCAUCCAAACCAACGAGUCUAUCCGGAAGCCCGACGCCGGUGGAAGUUAUGAACUGGAUCUCCGAAAUGGAGACAAUGUUUGAGAGUUGCGAGUCUAGCAACAGACAGAAAAUCGCUCUUGAAAUCUGGAGUACUGAGCUGGGGGAAGCUACUAGCUGAUUCUAUGCCUAAGGGAGAAGCUAGUAAGGAGUCUUUGGAGGAUUUUCUGGUGCAACUGGAGAUGCAAUACUGCUCUGAGCAGGAUCUUGUGGAGAUCAACAAUGGGUUCCAAAAUUUGAAGAAAGGAAGAAUGAGCGUUAUAGAAUACGCUGCAAGCUUUACGGAAAAAAUGAAGCCGGUUCCUUACCUAGUCCCAACCGAACUCUCCAAGGUUAACAAGUUUGCCCAUGGAUUACGAGCAGACUUUUGUCGAAUGGUCAAGCAAGAAACCACUUUGAAAGCCGCCAUCUGGGCAGCCAGGAAUGUUGAGACCCAGAUUAAGGAAACGGGUCUGGAGAGAGCUGAAUUUGGCGAGAAAAGGAAGCAUGAAGGAUCUUCAAAAUCCAACAAAGAAAGGAAAUUCUCAAAGACUGAUGAAGGAGGAGGAGGUGAAGCCAAGUGGUGUGAGAAGUGUAAAAAGAAGCACUUCAGGAAAUAUAGCGUGGAGUUGACUUGGUACAAAUGUGGAAAUACAGGGCAUUACACUGAGAGAUUAAGGAGAUGGAAAUCACUAGUAAUAAUGAAUGUAAGUUCUGUUUAUGCUUAUGUUUCUGUAUUGACGAUGACAUCCCAAAUGUUUUAAAAUGAAUAAAAAUACUUUUGUUUGGAAAUUCUUUGAUAAUGAAAUUAUCAUAUUUUUCUGGGAACAAAUUCCGCAACGUUUUUAUUAAAAGAGAUACUCUGAUUUUUAUAAAGCAUAAACAAAAUCGGUCUUUUUUGGCUGUGAAAUUGGGAUGUCACAGUUGGUACUAGAGCAUUAAUUUAAGUGAACUAGGAAUAUGGAUUUAUUUCUAGACUUAAACUUAGAAUGCUAAGCAAUGAUUGUGAGGAGUGUGUCUUAGGUAAUACACCUAAAUAGACACAAUCACUAGCUUAUUUAGGGAAAACGCCUAACAUGCUUUUAUGUGCUAAAUGAUUUAUGAUGCUAAAUGUAUGAUCGGAUCUAUGGUCUGUUGCCGACCAGAUCUUGAAAUUUUACGUGUACAGAUUUCUAAACGUUUAAUUAUGUUAUUAGAACUGGCAUGUAACUUUUCGGCGUAAUAAGAAGAUUUACCCGUCAAUCGUAAAUAAAAUCUUUCCUAUCUUAGUUCUCGUAAUUUCGCACCGAACAUCUGAUCUGGUGUAUAGAUCAAAAUGGCUAGAACCGGAAGUGGAGUCGGG